Molecule: long non-coding RNA, 427 nt
Organism: Homo sapiens (human)
Lineage: Eukaryota; Metazoa; Chordata; Mammalia; Primates; Hominidae
Gene: LNCATV
Product: lncRNA negative regulator of antiviral signaling
Source: Ensembl
CCCGGUUCCUCGAGAGGUCGUCGCCUUGCAGCCCUGGCUGAUUUCGAAGGCUAAAGGCGAUUCUUCAACACAAAUGGCGUCUUGCUCUGUCACCCAGGCUGGAGUGCAGUGGUGCGAUCUCGGCUCACUGCAACCUCUGCCCUUCUGGUUCAAGCAAUUCUCCCUGCCUCAGCCUGAGGUUUCUCCAGGACGUCACCUGUAUGAGGUACACAGUGUGAUGACACACUCUGUGCUUUUCCUACUUGUGUCCACGUGAGUGUCUGGAGCUGCCCUUCAAGGAGAGCAAUAGAUGAAUGAUUCUGCCUUCCCGCUGAGAGGGAUGUGGGUCCUGCGGAUGGUCGGGGUGAAGCUUCCUCUCCUUUCUGCUGACAGCACUUCCUCAUUAAAUGCAGAGAUCUGCAAAAAGGGAAAAUAAAAACACAAGAAG